RNAcentral lists this ribosomal RNA (277 nucleotides) under uncultured bacterium. Its description in RNAcentral is "partial 16S ribosomal RNA". It matches the Rfam family "Bacterial small subunit ribosomal RNA", at positions 32 to 307 of the family's 1533-position model. The record is from RNAcentral.
AAUCAACGCUGGCGGCGCGCUUAACACAUGCAAGUCGAGCGAGAAAGGGGGCAACCCUGAGUAAAGCGGCGUACGGGUGAGUAACACGUGGAUUAUCUACCUUUUAGUGGGGAAUAACUUUGGGAAACCGAAGCUAAUACCGCAUAAGCCUGUAAAGGGAAAGCCCCUAUUGUAAAAGAUAGGGGCGCUGGAAGAAGAGUCCGCGGCCGAUUAGCUAGUUGGUGAGGUAAUGGCUCACCAAGGCGACGAUCGGUAGCCGGCCUGAGAGGGCACACGG